RNAcentral lists this ribosomal RNA (301 nucleotides) under uncultured bacterium. Its description in RNAcentral is "partial 16S ribosomal RNA". It matches the Rfam family "Bacterial small subunit ribosomal RNA", at positions 509 to 808 of the family's 1533-position model. The record is from RNAcentral.
CAGUCGCCACGUAAUACGGAGGGUGCAAGCGUUAAUCGGAAUUACUGGGCGUAAAGCGCACGCAGGCGGUCUGACAAGUCAGAUGUGAAAUCCCCGGGCUUAACCUGGGAACUGCAUUUGAAACUGUCAGGCUGGAGUCUUGUAGAGGGGGGUAGAAUUCCAGGUGUAGCGGUGAAAUGCGUAGAGAUCUGGAGGAAUACCGGUGGCGAAGGCGGCCCCCUGGACAAAGACUGACGCUCAGGUGCGAAAGCGUGGGGAGCAAACAGGAUUAGAUACCCCUGUAGUCCCUGUCUCUUAUACC